CCUACGGGUGGCUGCAGUGGGGAAUAUUGCGCAAUGGGCGAAAGCCUGACGCAGCGACGCCGCGUGGGGGAGGAAGGCCUUCGGGUUGUAAACCCCUGUCAGGUGGGACGAAACCCGGGUCGGUGAAUAACCGGCUCGACUGACGGUACCACCAGAGGAAGCUCCGGCUAACUCCGUGCCAGCAGCCGCGGUAAUACGGAGGGAGCGAGCGUUGUUCGGAAUCACUGGGCGUAAAGGGCGCGUAGGCGGCCGGGUAAGUCGUGUGUGAAAGACCGGGGCUCAACUCCGUGUACUGCAUGCGAUACUGCCCGGCUAGAGAAAGGUAGAGGCGAGUGGAAUUCCCGGUGUAGCGGUGGAAUGCGUAGAUAUCGGGAAGAACACCAGUGGCGAAGGCGGCUCGCUGGGCCUUUUCUGACGCUGAAGCGCGAAAGCGUGGGGAGCAAACAGGAUUAGAUACCCCAGUAGUCC
Molecule: ribosomal RNA, 468 nt
Filed under: Escherichia coli
Lineage: Bacteria; Pseudomonadati; Pseudomonadota; Gammaproteobacteria; Enterobacterales; Enterobacteriaceae
Description: bacterial SSU rRNA
Rfam family: Bacterial small subunit ribosomal RNA
Source: RNAcentral